GAUCCAAUCACCUCCCACCAGGUUCCUCCCUCAACGCCUGGUCAAGAUGAGAUGGGGGUGGGGACACAGCCUAACCAUCUCAACCUUCUUUAUUUCAUUCGUUUAACAAACAUUUACAAACAGCUUGUUCUACACAGUAGACAGUCAAGGUCAAACAGGGCGGAGCCUCUGCUCUCCGGGAGUCCACAGCUGGAAAAGGGAUAGCGAGAUACCCCUGGAAAUCUGCACUUCAUGAUGCUCAAGACGCAAUUCCUUCCCUGACCACACCUGAAUUCAAGGGCAAAAACCUAUUUCUGAACCGGGCCAGCAGCGCCCUCUAGUGGAUCCACAGAGGAAGGCCUCAAGGAGCUCUGCGCUUCAGACACAUCCACGCAGGCAGCAUAAAGCCACGCGGGGACCCUGCUAGCAGGAAAGAGCAUGAAGCUUGGGGCUGCUGGAGUCAUCACCUGAAUCAGAGAAUAAAGCUAACUCAGAGGAAAGCACCACAGAGACAUCAAGGGACCAGCUUGAGUUAUAUCGCUGGAUGUGACCAUGUCUGCAGGGACUGGAAAUUUCAAUCGUGUGAGCCAAUAAAUUCCCCUCUUCUGGGGAACUACAUGGAAUUGGGUUUCUGUCACAACUGAAAUCAUUCUGACCAAUGGAUUUAGGAUUCUAAAGAAUGAAAAGGAAAUACAUCAUUAGGGCUCUUAAAUACCUCAAAGGGAGGCCAGGCGCAGUGGCUCACGCCUGUAAUCCCAGCACUUUGGGACGCUGAGGUGGGCGGAUCACAAGGUCAGGAGUUUGAGACCAGCCUGGCCAACAUAGUGAGACCCCAUUUCUACCCAAAUUAGCCAGGCGUGGUGAUGGGUGCCCGUAGUCCCAGCUACUCAGGAGCUGGAGGCAGAAGAAUCAUUUGAACCUGGGAGGCAGAUUACAGUGAGCCAAGAUUGCACCACUGCACUCCAGACAGAGCGAGACUCCAGUCAAACAAACAAACAAAAUCUCAACAGGAAUCCUAAUGUCAGGCAAAGUAUCUCAGAAAUGCAGUCUAACACCUUUUGGUGAAACUCACUGCCUGUCUUUUUGCACUGACUUGCUUCUCCUUGCCUUCCGCCAUGAUUGUGAAGCUUCCCCAGCCAGUGGAACUGUAUCUUCCCUCGUUCUCACCCUCAGGAAUAAAACAAUUAGAGUGGAAAUGCAAAGAGAAAGAAGAGUCAGAACUCAGCUUUUAAAUUUCAACAUUCAAUAUUUUUAAAUUUCAAAUGUGUGGCUAGAGAGAAAAGUCUCCGUGUUUCAAAAGUUGCAUCUUUUUUACUCCAGAAGCUUGAAUCCUAUGUGAUUCUGGAAGUCUGUGUUCUAUAAAAUCUAGAGGUUCAAAAGAAGCAGAAUCUGCAGGAUGGGUGUGGCAGCCCCACCUAGGAGAGGCAAGGCGGCCGGGCUGAGGACAGAGAGGAGGUGAAGCAGAGCCUGGUAUGGGUCUCUGGAGGAUCCUUGUCACCUGCCUCUUUCCAGAUGGAGCUUCAGGGAGGAAAGAGGGAGAAACAGAGCCCAGGGGGGUCGCUGUGGCAUCUGGAAGGAGUGGAGACCUGUGCCUCACUUCUUGUCACGGGCCCUGGAGGCGGUGGCUCUUGCAGUGUUUCCCCUCCCAGCGAGGGAUGCCUUUUUUGUGUCUACACCACAGGGGCCCAAGAUAGCCUCUUGGAGAUUCCCAAGGCCUCCAGAGCAGUGGGAGCAGCCAGGGUUUCCCCAUGUCCUUGACAAUGGCAAUGUCAGUGGCUCAACAACAAGAAUCACAUGGGAUGGCUGGGUGGAGCCCAGCCUGGAUCAAUACUGACAGCAGGACAGGGACCCAGAGGAAGAUACCUGAGCAAGUGCCAGCAGGGACAAGAAAGACAAUGACAACCUCAUGCCUCAACAAAACAAAAAUCCAGCAGCUUAUACUCCCAAUGGAAAGCAGGAUGAAGAAACGUAACUUCCAGUUGACAGAAAAAAAUGGUUGGCUCUUCUGUCCCCUCUUCCCUAUGAGAUUUGUAUCUCCCCAAAUCAAAACACCCUAAAAAGUUCUGAAAGGCAGGGUGGGGCGCUGGAAGGCAGUGGAUGUGGAGUGAGGGGACAAGAGUUUCUUUGUCACUGGCCAUCUUGUGUGACCUUGAGCUGGUCAUUUCACCUCUCUGGUUCUCAGUUUUCUCAUCUGUAAAAUAAGAUGUAAUGCUACCUGCUCCUCUGGCUGCUUGUGAGGAUUAAAUGCAAAAAAAUCCGAAAAACAAAACAAACUUCCCCCGCUUCCCGGCUGAGUUCUGCACCUGGUAGUUAGGGGCUCAGCAAAUAGCUGAACCUUCCCUGCCUUUCCCUUUCAAUUGUUGCCCAUUUAGAAACACCAUAAUUCUUUGCAGGAAAGAUGGAUACAUGAGGUUACAUAUACCAGCGCCUGGAAAACAAAAUGAAACAAAGCCUUCUUCCACUCUGGGGAAGAAACAAUAAAAACCUCAAGGCACAAAACAGACAAUGAAAAUGACUUGAGAGCGGGGCUGGGGGUGGUGGGCAGGGUGAGGGCGGUGACUGCACUCAAUGAAAAGCAACAACUCAAUACCCUGCUAUCAUCCUUCAUCAAACUACAGAAAUAGAAACCAGACAAACACAUUAUGUGAAGGGCAAAAGGGCUGGCAAGGUUCUGGCCUAUAGGAAAAACCCUGGUUCGAUAAUCCCACGAACAGAGGGAGGUAGGGAAGGGAGGUCAAAGUCAAUAGCAGUUUUUUUUCUUUUUUUCUUUGUCAGAACGCUGGUUUACAGUCCUAAUGAGGCUUAAACAUCACACGCUCCUUUUUGACUGAAUUCAGUUUCUCAUUAGACUCUGUAUCUGCUCCCAGAUCAGCCAGGCACAUGCCAGGAGCUGCUUCUACUUCCUCUGGCCAGUGAAUUAUCAGGGGUAUUUCUGCCUGUUUUUUGUCUUUUUUUUUUUUUUGGUUAAAGAAAGCUUUGGAGUCGAAAUGGUCUCUUCUAAUUAUAUCUCCUCUCCUCUCUCUGAUUAGAAAGGUGAUCAAUUUUGGGGAAGGACCUGGGCUCUGUCUUUCUUCAGAGGAGUGCCUGGUUAAGAUAGUAUUAUCUGCUCUGGGUCUUUUCCGUUUUUCCAGAGAAAAUCUCAGGCCGGCAGCCAUGUUUUUUAAUAUCUUCAGGAGUCUUGGAAAAGAUACGCUUUAUGUCAAGCUCAGUGCUAGGUGCUAGGAACGCAGAAACCAAAAAAAGGAAUUAAGAAAGUGCUCAUGUUCUCAAAGAACGCAAAGAGAUUUACACCACCAGGUUGUAGGUAACCAGAGUACUGGGUUAACUGCCGCUGGCUCUGGAAUAGAUGUUUCCCUAAGAUGGCUUAUCUCUUAAAGACCUCACAAGAGCUCUGAGGCUGGGUAUACUCUGGCUCCAUUUUCACAGAUGAACAGCCUACCUACCGCUCCCAGUCUUUGUUCCACCGAAGACCACGGUGCACUCCAGUCCUGGUCCUUUGACUCCAAGCCCUCUGCUGAGUUUCCUCUUGGUAGCAACCCAGUGGGCAGUGCCAAACUCUUCCAAGCCCAUGGAAGGGCACACAAGAAUUUACAGGGCACACAAGAAUUUACUACCUUUUAUCAGAGAGCAUACGCUGGGAAGUUCCUCCUUAUUUUGAAAGACCCAGGUCAAGUGUAACACUCUGGAUGAAACUUGUUCUGUCUCCCCCAGGCAGAGUGAGUUACAUCCUUCUGUAAUACCCUUAUUGCUUUUGGCCCAUAUAUUAAUCCUAUUAAUAAAGAUAGUCGGUGCAAUAAUAGUAGUAAAAUGGUCUGAGUUAACACUAACUGUGUUUGUGAACCAGGUGUCACGCUAAGGGUUUGACAUGCAUUAUUUAAUGGUCAAAAGAAUGUCAGGGGAGACAGUAUUACUGUGUUUGGUUUAUAGAUUCUAUCAGUUGGGAGUUAAGUGUGGCUGCAUGUUGAAACCUGUCUGCAGCGGCUUAACCAAAUGGGAACUUGUUUUUCUCAAAUAACAAUAAAUUAGUAUAGACAGGCUCGGGCUGAUAUGGUGGGUCUACUAUAUAUAUAUAUAUAUGUUUU
Callithrix jacchus (white-tufted-ear marmoset) is the source of this 4061-nucleotide non-coding RNA. The record is from RefSeq and is a predicted model, not a curated record. NCBI's taxonomy places the organism in Eukaryota, Metazoa, Chordata, Mammalia, Primates, Cebidae.